UUGGAGGGCAAGUCUGGUGCCAGCAGCCGCGGUAAUUCCAGCUCCAAUAGCGUAUAUUAAAGUUGUUGUGGUUAAAAAGCUCGUAGUUGAACCUUGGGCCUGGCUGGCCGGUCCGCCUCACCGCGUGUACUGGUCCGGCCGGGCCUUUCCCUCUGUGGAACCCCAUGCCCUUCACUGGGCGUGGCGGGGAAACAGGACUUUUACUGUGAAAAAAUUAGAGUGCUCCAGGCAGGCCUAUGCUCGAAUACAUUAGCAUGGAAUAAUAGAAUAGGA
RNAcentral lists this ribosomal RNA (273 nucleotides) under uncultured Ascomycota. Its description in RNAcentral is "partial 18S ribosomal RNA". It matches the Rfam family "Eukaryotic small subunit ribosomal RNA", at positions 548 to 827 of the family's 1831-position model. The record is from RNAcentral. Lineage: Eukaryota; Fungi; Ascomycota.